This 467-nucleotide ribosomal RNA is filed under the name uncultured bacterium. RNAcentral's name for it is "partial 16S ribosomal RNA". It matches the Rfam family "Bacterial small subunit ribosomal RNA", at positions 28 to 506 of the family's 1533-position model. The record is from RNAcentral.
GACGAACGCUGGCGGCGUGCUUAACACAUGCCAGUCGAACGGAAAGGCCCUGCUUUUGUGGGGUGCUCGAGUGGCGAACGGGUGAGUAACACGUGAGUAACCUGCCCUUGACUUUGGGAUAACUUCAGGAAACUGGGGCUAAUACCGGAUAGGAGCUCCUGCUGCAUGGUGGGGGUUGGAAAGUUUCGGCGGUUGGGGAUGGACUCGCGGCUUAUCAGCUUGUUGGUGGGGUAGUGGCUUACCAAGGCUUUGACGGGUAGCCGGCCUGAGAGGGUGGCCGGCCACAUUGGGACUGAGAUACGGCCCAGACUCCUACGGGAGGCAGCAGUGGGGAAUAUUGCACAAUGGGCGGAAGCCUGAUGCAGCAACGCCGCGUGCGGGAUGACGGCCUUCGGGUGGGAAACCGCUUUCGCCUGUGACGAAGCGUGAGUGACGGUAAUGGGUAAAGAAGCACCGGCUAACUACGU